This is a long non-coding RNA of Neocloeon triangulifer, 912 nucleotides long. RefSeq lists it as uncharacterized. The record is from RefSeq and is a predicted model, not a curated record. Lineage: Eukaryota; Metazoa; Arthropoda; Insecta; Ephemeroptera; Baetidae. The transcript is spliced from 5 exons.
AGAGCAAAGAGACACGUGUGAUGUUGUAAUUCAAGUGUCAGUUAAGAAAUGGGACUUAAAUGAGUGUUUUUUUCGAAAAAAAUCCAGUGAAAUCAAUCCGAAGCAGCCACAAGUGGCGGCCGUCCUCAAUUCAUCAUCGUUCCAGCCGUGGCACCAGUGAGCGAGUUUCGCGGAAAAAUCACCUGCAGAACGGGCCGAAACGACGACUUUCAACAGCCAGCUCCUGAUCAUCUAACGUGAGCAACGAACAGGCAGAAGAAUUCUAACGCAUCACCCAGAAAAGUGGGAAAUCCAGUCGUUCUUUCGAUGACCUACAACUUCUAAAUAAUAAAAUGUCAGGAUUGCGACUACGCAGAGCCAAAGACUGCAGAGUUCGACGAAAGAUAUUUAAUAAAACUGAUUGAGUCGACCUUGCAGGGGCUUGAGAAGAACAAACUAUUUCUCGCUGAGCCCAAUAAGGUGGCCAAUGAUUAUGAGCACAACCAGGCAUACAAAAGCAACAUUCGAGCCCAGCUGAAGACUUUUGCCUACGCUGAGCCACAGACUGCUCCGAACGCGGAGCCAAAGAAUGCUUCUUGGGGUGAGCCAAAGCCUGCUACCUGCACUGUAUUAUGUGCACGAUGUAAUAAAUUUUAUGAAUAUUUAACACUUAAGCUAACUUCAAAACGGCUUCAGUAAAAUUCGGAACCAUAAAUCGCAUAUAGCAGAGGAAUGUUAUUACAAUAAUGUAACAUUUCAAACACAAUAUUAAUUAAAUUCAUAAUAAUUUCUAUGCAUCCUAAUAAAUGGCAUACAGUACAAUUAAACAAGAUUACCUUGAAGCAAUUACGAAAAUAUUGUAAUAAUAUUUAAAAUAUUAAUAAAAAUGAUUUUAACAUAAUUUAAAUCUGAAAAUUAUAAAAAUUAAUUAAA